Molecule: ribosomal RNA, 241 nt
Filed under: uncultured bacterium
Lineage: Bacteria
Description: partial 16S ribosomal RNA
Rfam family: Bacterial small subunit ribosomal RNA
Source: RNAcentral
UACGAAGGGGGCUAGCGUUGCUCGGAUUGACUGGGCGUAAAGAGCUCGUAGGCGGUGUGUCACGUCGGCCGUGAAAACCUGGGGCUUAACUCUGGGCGUGCGGUCGAUACGGGCAUCACUAGAGUUCGGCAGGGGAGACUGGAAUUCCUGGUGUAGCGGUGAAAUGCGCAGAUAAUCAGGAGGAACACCGGUGGCGAAGGCGGGUCUCUGGGCCGAUACUGACGCUGGAGGAGCGAAAGCA